GAAGGAAAAGAAGUACAAUGCUAUGAAUGUGAUGGGAAUGUACACAUUAGAACUGAAUGUGGAACGUACCUCAAGAAGCAGAAGAUGAGUCUUGCUGCCACUUGGUCUGAUGAGAGUGAAACAAAAGAAUCUGCAAAUCUGGUAACUUCCUUGACUGGAAGAUGGGGUUCUGAUGAAGACUCAAGUGAUGAUGAAGUAACCUUUGAAGAGUUGGCCACUACCUACAGAAAGAUAUGUCACAAAAG
RNAcentral lists this long non-coding RNA (245 nucleotides) under Lathyrus oleraceus (garden pea). RNAcentral describes it as "Pisum sativum (pea) long non-coding RNA (PSAT_LNC032163)". Lineage: Eukaryota; Viridiplantae; Streptophyta; Magnoliopsida; Fabales; Fabaceae. The record is from RNAcentral.